Molecule: ribosomal RNA, 446 nt
Filed under: uncultured bacterium
Lineage: Bacteria
Description: bacterial SSU rRNA
Rfam family: Bacterial small subunit ribosomal RNA
Source: RNAcentral
CCAGACUCCUACGGGAGGCAGCAGUGGGGGAUAUUGCACAAUGGGGGAAACCCUGAUGCAGCGACGCCGCGUGGGUGAAGAAGUAUUUCGGUAUGUAAAGCCCUAUCGGCAGGGAAGAAAUUGGACGGUACCUGACUAAGAAGCCCUGGCUAACUACGUGCCAGCAGCCGCGGUAAUACGUAGGGGGCAAGCGUUAUCCGGAUUCACUGGGUGUAAAGGGAGCGUAGACGGCCAUGCAAGCCUGGAGUGAAAGCCCGGGGCCCAACCCCGGGACUGCUCUGGGAACUGUGCGGCUGGAGUGCGGGAGGGGCAGGCGGAAUUCCUGGUGUAGCGGUGAAAUGCGUAGAUAUCAGGAGGAACACCGGCGGCGAAGGCGGCCUGCUGGACCGCGACUGACGUUGAGGCUCGAAAGCGUGGGGAGCAAACAGGAUUAGAUACCCCCGUAG